RNAcentral lists this ribosomal RNA (410 nucleotides) under Vibrio parahaemolyticus. Its description in RNAcentral is "bacterial SSU rRNA". It matches the Rfam family "Bacterial small subunit ribosomal RNA", at positions 397 to 794 of the family's 1533-position model. The record is from RNAcentral. Lineage: Bacteria; Pseudomonadati; Pseudomonadota; Gammaproteobacteria; Vibrionales; Vibrionaceae.
CCGCGUGCGUGAAGAAGGCCUUCGGGUUGUAAAGCACUUUCAGUCGUGAGGAAGGUAGUAGUAGUUAAUAGCUGCAUUAUUUGACGUUAGCGACAGAAGAAGCACCGGCUAACUCCGUGCCAGCAGCCGCGGUAAUACGGAGGGUGCGAGCGUUAAUCGGAACUUACUGGGCGUAAAGCGCAUGCAGGUGGUUUGUUAAGUCAGAUGUGAAAGCCCGGGGCUCAACCUCGGAAUUGCAUUUGAAACUGGCAGACUAGAGUACUGUAGAGGGUGGGUAGAAUUUCAGGUGUAGCGGUGAAAUGCGUAGAGAUCUGAAGGAAUACCCGGUGGCGAAGGCGGCCCCCUGGACAGAUACUGACACUCAGAUGCGAAAGCGUGGGGAGCAAACAGGAUUAGAUACCCUAGGUAGU